This 70-nucleotide transfer RNA is filed under the name Caudoviricetes sp. RNAcentral's name for it is "tRNA-Ile". It matches the Rfam family "tRNA". From Rfam's summary of the family: Transfer RNA (tRNA) molecules are approximately 80 nucleotides in length. Lineage: Duplodnaviria; Heunggongvirae; Uroviricota; Caudoviricetes. The record is from RNAcentral.
ACAUGGCGCAAUUGGUUAGCGCACUUCCCUGAUAAGGAAGAGGUUGAAUGUUCGAGUCAUUCUGUAGAUA